GUCGAGCGGCAGCGACUUAACUGAACCUUCGGGGAACGUUAAGGGCGGCGAGCGGCGGACGGGUGAGUAAUGCCUGGGAAUAUGCCCUGAUGUGGGGGAUAACUAUUGGAAACGAUAGCUAAUACCGCAUAAUCUCUUCGGAGCAAAGAGGGGGACCUUCGGGCCUCUCGCGUCAGGAUUAGCCCAGGUGGGAUUAGCUUGUUGGUGAGGUAAUGGCUCACCAAGGCAACGAUCCCUAGCUGGUCUGAGAGGAUGAUCAGCCACACUGGAACUGAGACACGGUCCAGACUCCUACGGGAGGCAGCAGUGGGGAAUAUUGCACAAUGGGGGAAACCCUGAUGCAGCCAUGCCGCGUGUGUGAAGAAGGCCUUCGGGUUGUAAAGCACUUUCAGUAGGGAGGAAGGUAGUGUAGUUAACACCUGCAUUAUUUGACGUUACCUACAGAAGAAGCACCGGCUAACUCCGUGCCAGCAACCGCGGUAAUACGGAGGGUGCGAGCGUUAAUCGGAAUUACUGGGCGUAAAGCGCAUGCAGGCGGCCUGUUAAGUCAGAUGUGAAAGCCCGGGGCUUAACCUCGGAAUUGCAUUUGAAACUGGCAGGCUAGAGUCUUGUAGAGGGGGGUAGAAUUUCAGGUGUAGCGGUGAAAUGCGUAGAGAUCUGAAGGAAUACCAGUGGCGA
RNAcentral lists this ribosomal RNA (678 nucleotides) under uncultured bacterium. RNAcentral's name for it is "bacterial SSU rRNA". It matches the Rfam family "Bacterial small subunit ribosomal RNA", at positions 61 to 718 of the family's 1533-position model. The record is from RNAcentral.